UGGGACCGUAACGGUAGUAGGUCAGCGCGGGAGUGACGCAGAAGGGUAGCCGGCCGCGGAGGUGGUCUUCCGUGGUCAAGCACGCAGGGCGUGGGACAGGCAAAUCCGUCCCGCAUGGGUCCGAGGUGCGAUGAUGGGGGCCUUAUGGCCCGAUAUCCGGUGAUCCCGGCUGCCGAGAAAAGCUUCGGCGUGAGGCGGCGUGCCGCCCGUACCCCAAACCGACACUGGUGGUCAGGUAGAGAAUACCAAAGCGAUCGAGCGAAUCCUGGUCAAGGAACUCGGCAAAUUGCUCCCGUGCCUUCGGCAUAAGGGAGACCCCCUGCGGUGAUGAGCGGCGGGGGGUGGCACAGGCCAGGGGGUAGCGACUGUUUACCAAAAACACAGGAGCGUGCGAAGGCGCAAGCCGCUGUAUACGCUCUGACGCCUGCCCGGUGCCGGAAGGUUAAGAGGAUCCGUCAGCUUUCUGCGAAGCGGUGAAUUCAAGCCCCGGUAAACGGCGGUGGUAACUAUAACCAUCCUAAGGUAGCGAAAUUCCUUGUCGGGUAAGUUCCGACCUGCACGAAUGGCGUAACGACUUCCCCACUGUCUCGACCAGGAGCUCGGCGAAAUUGCAGUACGAGUAAAGAUGCUCGUUAAGCGCAGAAGGACGAAAAGACCCCGGGACCUUUACUAUACCUUGGUAUUGGCAUUAGGCGCGGAUUGUGUAGCAUAGGCGGGAGGCCGAGAGGCGCGGUCGCCAGAUCGCGCGGAGCCGUAAGGUGAAAUACCGCUCUGUUCGCAUUGGAUGUCUAACCUCGAACAGUCAUCCUGUUCAGGGACAGUGCCUGGCGGGUAGUUUAACUGGGGCGGUUGCCUCCCAAAGAGUAACGGAGGCGCUCAAAGGUCCGCUCGGCCCGGUUGGCAAUCGGGUGUCGAGUGUAAUCGCACAAGCGGGCUUGACUGCGAGAUCGACGGAUCGAGCAGGGACGAAAGUCGGAGAUAGUGAUCCGGUGCCGGCGCACGGGCGCGGCAUCGCUCAACGGAUAAAAGGUACCCCGGGGAUAACAGGCUGAUCAUUCCCAAGAGUCCAUAUCGACGGGAUGGUUUGGCACCUCGAUGUCGGCUCGUCGCAUCCUGGGGCUGGAGCAGGUCCCAAGGGUUCGGCUGUUCGCCGAUCAAAGCGGCACGCGAGCUGGGUUCAGAACGUCGUGAGACAGUUUGGUCUCUAUCCUCUGCGCUCGUUGGAAUCUUGAGGAGGCCUGCCCAUAGUACGAGAGGACCUGGGUGGACGAACCUCUGGUAUGCCGGUUGUCACGCCAGUGGCACGGCCGGUUGGCUACGUUCGGAAGGGAUAACCGCUGAAAGCAUCUAAGCGGGAAGCCUUCUCCAAGAUAAGGAUUCCAUGCGGCCCCGAGCCGCUGAAGACCCCAUGCAGAACACGUGGUCGAUAGGCCGGA
Molecule: ribosomal RNA, 1436 nt
Filed under: human gut metagenome
Description: bacterial LSU rRNA
Rfam family: Bacterial large subunit ribosomal RNA
Source: RNAcentral